This 947-nucleotide long non-coding RNA is filed under the name Homo sapiens (human). Its description in RNAcentral is "non-protein coding lnc-PRORY-4:1". The record is from RNAcentral. Lineage: Eukaryota; Metazoa; Chordata; Mammalia; Primates; Hominidae.
UCUUUGCAUGGAAAAGCAAUAAAACUAGAACAAGCCAGGAAACCAUCUUUUCAAAGUUGUGGUAGGCGGAGACCACCACCUUCUUCAAAAAACAGGACACCUGCAGGAAGUCUGAGAUCUGGAAGACGAAGUAGUGGAGGAACAAGAGGGUGGCUUCUCUCAUAUGAAGGACACUUCGAUGAUGGUGGAUACACUCCUGAUCUCAACAUGAGUUCUUCUAGGGGACCCAUUCCAGUUAAAAGAGGUCCCUCUUCAAGAAGUCGAGUCCCUCCUCUGAAAAAAUCUGCUCUUUCUGCUAUGGUAAGAAGCAAUAGUUGGAUGGGAGGCCAAGAUCCCAUAUCAUGUGGAAGAGAGAAUUAUGGAGGUCCUCCAUGCAGAGUGACAAUCUCUUCCUGGAUAAAUGACCAUAUGUCACCAAGAGAUGAUGGUUAUGCAAUUAAGGAGAGACAUCAUCCAAGUUCCCGAGAAACUAGGGAUUAUGCUCCACCACCUAGAGGCUAUGCAUACUGUGAUUAUGGUCAUUCUAGUCAGGAUGAACAUUCCUCUAGAGGAUAUAAUGAUCAUGGUGGCUACUCUGAGGCCUGUGGUAGAGAUCUUUCUCAAUGUGCAAGUGGAAGUUCUUACAGAGAUGCAUUUCAGAGAUAUGGACCUCUCAUGGUGCAGCACCUGCACAAGGACCUGGGAUGUCUUAUGGUGGAAGCAGCCAUCAUGAUUAUAACAAUACUCGAGAUAGAUAUGGCAGAAGUCGGGAGAGUUACUCAAGGAGUUGCAGUGAUUUUUAUUCCUGUGGUCAUGAGCACUUUGGCAGAAAAGACUGAAGGAAUACACCUUCUCUGGAUAGGGUGCACCCUGCUCCUCAUGUAGCAUAUGGUAGGUCAAGUUAAGUGGCAUCUAUAGGAGAUAGUGGGGAAAGUCGACCUGAAAAAGGAGACUGAAGCAGAUACUAA